Molecule: long non-coding RNA, 223 nt
Filed under: Elaeis guineensis (African oil palm)
Lineage: Eukaryota; Viridiplantae; Streptophyta; Magnoliopsida; Arecales; Arecaceae
Description: long non-coding RNA (EGUI_LNC053048)
Source: RNAcentral
GGUUCUAAGGAUGUUGUUCUACACAUUCGACCUAUCCGGUCGUCAGGUACCAUUGCUAGAUGGUCACUUCGAUUGGUAUAAAAAUUUAUUCCUGUACUACCGGCUUAGGUUCAAACCUAUGAGAUCACACACAUUAGAGUUCAUGAUCCGAUCGGAUGGUUGAUCAACGAUUGAGAAUCAUUCUAGGGUUAAAUGAUCAAUACGAUUGACAUUUAACCCAGUG